GUAUGUAUAAUUUAAAAAAAUAUUAGAUUGUGAAUCUAAACAUGAAAGUUUAAAUCUUUCUACAAACC
This 68-nucleotide transfer RNA is filed under the name Amphiuma means (two-toed amphiuma). RNAcentral's name for it is "tRNA-His". It matches the Rfam family "tRNA". Rfam says of the family: Transfer RNA (tRNA) molecules are approximately 80 nucleotides in length. Their secondary structure includes four short double-helical elements and three loops (D, anti-codon, and T loops). The record is from RNAcentral. Lineage: Eukaryota; Metazoa; Chordata; Amphibia; Caudata; Amphiumidae.